RNAcentral lists this ribosomal RNA (566 nucleotides) under uncultured Methanomicrobiaceae archaeon. Its description in RNAcentral is "bacterial SSU rRNA". It matches the Rfam family "Archaeal small subunit ribosomal RNA", at positions 1 to 577 of the family's 1478-position model. The record is from RNAcentral. Lineage: Archaea; Methanobacteriati; Methanobacteriota; Methanomicrobia; Methanomicrobiales; Methanomicrobiaceae.
UUCCGGUUGAUCCUGCCAGAGGCCACUGCUAUCGGAGUUCGAUUAAGCCAUGCGAGUCGAGAGGUGCAAGACCUCGGCAUACUGCUCAGUAACACGUGGACAAUCUAACCUAUGGAAGGGGAUAACCCCGGGAAACUGGGGAUAAUACCCUAUAGACUAUGAAUGCUGGAAUGCUUUGUAGUCCAAAGGUCAGCCGCCAUAGGAUGGGUCUGCGGCCGAUUAGGUUGUUGUUGGGGUAACGGCCCAACAAGCCUGUAAUCGGUACGGGUUGUGGGAGCAAGAGCCCGGAGAUGGAUUCUGAGACACGAAUCCAGGCCCUACGGGGCGCAGCAGGCGCGAAAACUUUACAAUGCGGGAAACCGUGAUAGGGGAACUCCGAGUGCCCGUUAAAUCGGGCUGUCCAUCAGUUUAAAUAACUGGUGAAGAAAGGGCCGGGCAAGACCGGCGCCAGCCGCCGCGGUAAUACCGGCGGCUCGAGUGGCGGCCACUAUUACUGGGCUUAAAGCGUUCGUAGCUGGUUUGUUAAGUCUCUGGGAAAUCUUCCGGCUUACCCGGAAGGCGUUUCA